GCCCACAUAAUAAAAUCUUACAAAUUAACAAAUAAUAGAAACAACUAAAUAAAUUAAAUAGACAAUAAAGUACAGAAAUGGAAAAUAUAAUAAAUAAAAGUAAAUUUUAACAACUGUACCUUGUGCAUUAUGGUUUUACAAGAAAAUAGUUAAAGACAACAAUCCCGAAUUCUAAGUGAGAUGUUAAACUGCUGUUAUGAACCCACUAAUAUCUGUGGAACAAGAUUUAAAAGACAGUUUAACAGAGGCUACAUACCAUCCGCAUAAGAAUAUAGCUGGUUUUCAACAAACAUUAUACAUUAAAACAUAUAAUAGUAUUAUAGUGUAAAAUUAUUGAGGAUAAGCCCAAUAAUUUUAGCAAUGGAAGAAUCAAAUCACUUUACGACCAUAGGCCUAAAAUCAGCCAAUUAAAGUACUUUAUCGUAAUAUACAGUGAUAAAAUAUAUAAAUAUACACAUGCUAAAUAAAGUUGAAAUAGUGGACUAACCACCACGCCCACUUAUACUAUGUAAAAAUAAGUAUUAUAAAUAUAUGACAACAAUAAACUAGUAAUCUUCAACACAUAAACAAUAAUAAUUAAUUAAGGAACUCGGCAAAACAUUAUUUCGACUGUUUAACAAAAACAUUGUCUCAUGUAUAAUAUAUGAGAUAAUACCUGCCCAGUGACAACUGUUCAACGGCCGCGGUAUCCUAACCGUGCAAAGGUAGCAUAAUCACUUGCCUAUUAAUUGUAGGCUAGAAUGAAGGGGUUAACGAAAUAAAAACUGUCUCAAUUAAUUACCUAAAAAUUAUUCUCUACUCGAAGAAAAGUAGAUACUCUCGAAGGACAAGAAGACCCUAUGGAGCUUAAUUUUACCUAUAGAACUAUAUUAUAAAAAUAUUCGGUUGGGGCGACCCAGGGCUAAAUAAUCACCCAUUGUAUAAAAGAUAAAUAAAUCAAGAAAAUGACCCUUAAAAGAUCAUAAGACAAGCUACCUUAGGGAUAACAGGCUAAUCCCACUCAAGAGUCCUUAUCAACAGUGGGGCUUGGCACCUCGAUGUUGGCUUAGGGUAUCUAUAUAGCGCAAAAGUUAUAUAAAGAUGGUUUGUUCAACCAGUAACUUCCCUACAUGAGCUGAGUUCAGACCGGCGUAAGCCAGGUUAGCUUCUAUCCUCGACUACAAUAUUCUGCUCCUAGUACGAAAGGACCUGAGUAAAAUAAUUACUUAUAAAAAAGAAUACAUAUAAUUAAAUAUAAACGUUCUAAAGCACAAACUAUG
RNAcentral lists this ribosomal RNA (1259 nucleotides) under Amynthas sp. 2 JS-2012. Its description in RNAcentral is "16S ribosomal RNA". The stretch from base 564 to 1259 matches the Rfam family "Archaeal large subunit ribosomal RNA", at positions 1423 to 2840 of the family's 2987-position model. The record is from RNAcentral. Lineage: Eukaryota; Metazoa; Annelida; Clitellata; Crassiclitellata; Megascolecidae.